RNAcentral lists this ribosomal RNA (253 nucleotides) under uncultured bacterium. RNAcentral describes it as "partial 16S ribosomal RNA". It matches the Rfam family "Bacterial small subunit ribosomal RNA", at positions 524 to 776 of the family's 1533-position model. The record is from RNAcentral.
UACGUAGGGGGCUAGCGUUGUCCGGAAUCAUUGGGCGUAAAGAGCGUGUAGGCGGCCCGGUAAGUCCGCUGUGAAAGUCGGGGGCUCAACCCUCGAAUGCCGGUGGAUACUGUCGGGCUAGAGUGCGGAAGAGGCGAGUGGAAUUCCUGGUGUAGCGGUGAAAUGCGCAGAUAUCAGGAGGAACACCAAUUGCGAAGGCAGCUCGCUGGGACGUAACUGACGCUGAGACGCGAAGGCGUGGGGAGCGAACGGG